CCUACGGGUGGCAGCAGUAGGGAAUAUUGCUCAAUGGGGGAAACCCUGAAGCAGCAACGCCGCGUGGGGGAAGAAGGUUUUCGGAUUGUAAACUCCUUUUGUUAGGGAAGAUAAUGACGGUAUCUGACGAAUAAGCACCGGCUAACUCCGUGCCAGCAGCCGCGGUAAUACGGAGGGUGCAAGCGUUACUCGGAAUCACUGGGCGUAAAGGGCGCGUAGGCGGGUUAGCAAGUCAGAUGUGAAAUCCGAGGGCUUAACCAUCGAACUGCAUUUGAAACUGUGGUUCUAGAGUUUGGGAGAGGUAGGUGGAAUUCUUGGUGUAGCGGUAAAAUGCGUAGAGAUCAAGAGGAACACUCAUUGCGAAGGCGACCUGCUAGACCAUAACUGACGCUGAUGCGCGAAAGCGUGGGGAGCAAACAGGAUUAGAUACCCUUGUAGUC
RNAcentral lists this ribosomal RNA (440 nucleotides) under uncultured bacterium. Its description in RNAcentral is "partial 16S ribosomal RNA". It matches the Rfam family "Bacterial small subunit ribosomal RNA", at positions 338 to 795 of the family's 1533-position model. The record is from RNAcentral.